This is a long non-coding RNA of Homo sapiens (human), 654 nucleotides long. The record is from Ensembl. NCBI's taxonomy places the organism in Eukaryota, Metazoa, Chordata, Mammalia, Primates, Hominidae.
GGCUUCUGACCGCUCACCCUCCCCCGUCAACUCCUUACGUAGUCACCAUUAUGAAAAAGUGUGCCCCUUCAGCACCUUGGGAAGACCUGGAUAUAACCAGGGUCCCAGGUUUGAGGAGACAGUGCUGGGUCAAACAGCCUUUAUUUUAGCAGUUGUGAGACCCUAGAGAACUCCUUUGGUGUUUUGGGGUCUCCCCAGCAUGCACAAUGGGGGUUAUGCUAGCAUCUCUUUCCUAGGGAACUCAUGAGGUUAUGUUUGAGAUAAAUAUUUAAAAACUCAUGGUGUGGUGUUCCCUGUGGAUAUUGCACACACUUAGAAAUGGAACAAAUACAAGAAGGGGUGAGAGAAAAUAAAGCAUGCGAAGAAGUUAACUUGGUGCCAUUGGGCAGAGGGUGAGAGCCCAGCAAACCGGAGAGAUCAGCUGCCCACAUCAGUGGCGAGGAGUGCGGAGAGUGGGUGAGGCUGGGGCAGGAAGCAGGCCAGCCUGCCAGAGCCCAGGAACAGGUGAAAGGACCUGCUGAAGCUCACACCCGUGGACCACCCAGACUGCCUGCCGCUACAGGAUGCCCUCCGCAUCUCCCAGGACUUCUUUCCGGCAUCAGUGUGGACAUUGACCCCACUGGACUGCAGUCACAGUGGACUCCCAAGGGGCAG